AAGUGAAAUUAUAGGGGCGCCUGGGUGGCUCAGUCGGUUGAGCGUCCGACUUCGGCUCAGGUCAUGAUCUCACAGUUCGUGGGUUCGAGCCCCACGUCGGGCUCUGCGCUGACAGCUCAGAGCCUGGAGCCUGCUUGGGAUUCUGUGUCUCCCUCUCUCUCUGCCCCUCCCCCACUCACGCUCACUCUGUCUCUCUCUCUCAAAAAUAAACAUUAAAAAAAUUAAAAAAAAAAAAAAAAAAAA
This is a long non-coding RNA of Panthera uncia (snow leopard), 243 nucleotides long. RefSeq lists it as uncharacterized. The record is from RefSeq and is a predicted model, not a curated record. NCBI's taxonomy places the organism in Eukaryota, Metazoa, Chordata, Mammalia, Carnivora, Felidae. The transcript has 2 exons.